Carassius carassius (crucian carp) is the source of this 975-nucleotide long non-coding RNA. RefSeq lists it as uncharacterized. The transcript is spliced from 3 exons. NCBI's taxonomy places the organism in Eukaryota, Metazoa, Chordata, Actinopteri, Cypriniformes, Cyprinidae. The record is from RefSeq and is a predicted model, not a curated record.
UCACUAAGAUUAGUCAAUACUGUGGCCCUGCUGAUAACUGCAGCAACAGCUCAACAACACCUGAAGUUUCAAUAGAGACUGGCCGUCUAAUUCUACAUAAUGUCACCUACAACAGAUGCUACAGUGCAAAAACCUUACAAGGACACAAAGAGGUAUUUUAUAAUGUUACUGUCAAAGAAUUACACUUUACCAUCAGCACAGAAAUGCCCAUCUUAAAAUUCACUACUGAAACACCCGACUAUACUUUAACCUCAGACAAUUUCUACAACAAUACAUCAUCCAAUGCAACCACCACACAUAUUGCUGCUGUUGUUGUUGCUGUGAUCUUGGUGCCCCUUGGUUUGUUCGUUAUCUGGUACAUAUAUGCACAGUAAGUAUUGUCACAAUAAUUCAACUGUUCUUAAUUUGACCUCUCAUUAAUAACUGUGUUCAGGUAAAGACUGUGUUAUUGCAUAUCAGAGCAAACAUUUUUCAGCAAUGUAAAUUCGAAGUCUAUUUUUAAAUCCAGGCAUAAAAGCAGUGCAUGGGCAAAGCACAACUUAAUUUGAAUUUAAAAGCCACACUUGCUAGUUUGUAGUUGGACAUUAUUAUUAUAUGGCUCAAAACGAAUUAUAGUAAUUCCUAAUUAAAUACUUUUUGUGCACUUUAAAGCCAGCAGAGGUACUUACCAGUGAACGCAAACGUUGCAGGGUGAUGCUGGCUAAAGUGUCUCAUGAAGAAAUCAUCAUGGGAAACCCAGCAGCAGCCAAUUCGCUUCUCACAACUGCGAACGAAACUCAACUCUAGAUGGCUGCUCCACCUCCAACUAGGCACUUUACUGAAGGAUCUCUACCUUGAAGGAUUGAAAUGAAGGUCAACAUGGGUCAAGAGACUAUUGAAGUAGUUCUGCCUUUUGGUUCAGACAGAUCUAUAAGACUGAACCUUUUUUGUUUACUUAAUGUAAAUUAUAGAUUUUAUACAGAUAUUAAAUAUAUA